This is a non-coding RNA of Camelus ferus (Wild Bactrian camel), 327 nucleotides long. It matches the Rfam family "7SK RNA". From Rfam's summary of the family: 7SK was discovered as an abundant small nuclear RNA in the mid-70s but a possible function has only recently been suggested. Two independent studies have found that 7SK RNA binds the CDK9/cyclin T complex (known as elongation factor P-TEFb). Lineage: Eukaryota; Metazoa; Chordata; Mammalia; Artiodactyla; Camelidae. The record is from Rfam.
GGAUGUGAGGGUUAUCUGGCUGUGACAUGUGUCACCCCACUGAUCGCCAGGAUUGAUUCGGCUGAUCUGGCUGGCUAUGCAGGUGCCCCCUUCCUCCCUCACCGCUCCAGGUGCGUCCCUCCCAAAGCUGCGUCCUCGGUCGAAGAGGACGACUAUCCCCAAUAGAGGAGGACCGUUCUUCUCGGGUAAGAAUAUAUGAGCAGCUCUGCUCCCCUGCUGCAACCUCCAAACAAGCUCUCAGAAAAGGAAAAAUAAGACCUAGGAAUGCAGCUCUGGGCUCAGGAACCUGGAGGAGGGCUGGGCAGGUGAAAGCCGUGAAACUUCAGU